RNAcentral lists this transfer RNA (73 nucleotides) under Macrostemum floridum. RNAcentral describes it as "tRNA-Asp". Lineage: Eukaryota; Metazoa; Arthropoda; Insecta; Trichoptera; Hydropsychidae. The record is from RNAcentral.
AAAGAUUUAGUUAAAUUAAUAACUUAAAUUUGUCAAAUUUAAAUUAAUAUCCCUUAUUAAAUAUUAAUCUUUA